UGGAGGUGAUGUGGCAAUGUGUGUACGCAA
This 30-nucleotide non-coding RNA is filed under the name Homo sapiens (human). The record is from RNAcentral. Lineage: Eukaryota; Metazoa; Chordata; Mammalia; Primates; Hominidae.